AUGUCGAGCUCCACUUCAGCCUCCCGCCCCUCUUGGACACAGUAUGGUCCACUUCCCAUGGAGCGAUGUCCUGACUGCCCACGCAGCGCACCACUGAUACAGUUGACUUCGAAGGAGGUCAAGAAUGGCAACUAUGGGCGCGAGUUCAUGAAAUGCGAGAGCAAGCCAGAGGGGCAGAUCGUGAAGAAAUGCACACAUUUUGAAUGGCUGGAUGACUACGUUAAGCGGAUUCAAUUCAAUGGGGCCCCAACCCAGGAGCUCAAUCUGCCGGCGGCACCAAUGAAUUGGUCUCUGAAAGUGCUGCUCUGA
Molecule: ribosomal RNA, 309 nt
Filed under: Triticum aestivum (bread wheat)
Lineage: Eukaryota; Viridiplantae; Streptophyta; Magnoliopsida; Poales; Poaceae
Description: partial small subunit ribosomal RNA
Source: RNAcentral